Molecule: long non-coding RNA, 2101 nt
Filed under: Hordeum vulgare
Lineage: Eukaryota; Viridiplantae; Streptophyta; Magnoliopsida; Poales; Poaceae
Description: long non-coding RNA (HVUL_LNC009075)
Source: RNAcentral
UCGGUGAAGUCCGUCAUGGAAUUUAAGUGGUAGAGUGGUAAGUGGGCGUAUGGUCUAUGGAUUUCCUAUCAGUGGCAUUAGUUCCUUCUCUAGAUAGAUGGCUAUUGAGCUUCUCAUUCGUGAGAGUCAUGCGCCGGAUCAAGGGCUCUCUCAUCUCCUAUUUGGAAAUGUAUAGGUUCUGUAAGUGGCCAGUGCCCGCGGGUAAAGGCUGAUCAUCAAAAGUCAUCUAAUCCAUCUAAGUACCGGUAUUGCCCAGUGCUUGACUGGAGUUGUCCUGAUACCCGGAUACUCACCUCACUAUACGCCAAUUCAGGGAAAGGUCAUGCUGGGAAGCUUCCUUGAAAGAUAGUCUCAACACUCUCGAUGAGAAACGAGAACCCAGCCGACGAAGGUUUAUGCAUAUAUUGGUCCGCAUCCAGAGGAAGUCAAGGUUUCCAGAUGUGCUCAUCCCUGCUUGCUGAUAUGCAAAUCGAUUGGAAUUGGCAAAUCAUAGAGUUUGUCGCUGACAAGAGCUGUUUUGGCCAUGGUGAUCCUCCUCUCAAUACCCAUUCCUGCGAAUUCCCAAUCCAAUUAUAUUAGUCUAAUGUGUAGAAGAAAAAGGGGAAUCCAUGAGAAAGCCCAUAUUGUUCAUGGCAAUGGAACAUUCCUUUCCACUUUUGUGAAUGGAGAUCACUGACGAGCACUCUUGCGCAAAUCAAGAGUAAAGGUAGGAGCUAUGAAUCUGUCCCGGGUAGGAAAGGAUCCCUUUGAGUUCAUAUUGCUGCAGGAGAAAGAGAAGGGCACAGAGCUUCUAUAUACCACUGGAUUCCACCAGACUGUUCUGUGGAAAACACGACACCCUAUCCCUUCCCUGACGGGAACCUGGAUACCAUAGCAUAGGAACCUCCCCUUCCCUGACGGGAUACUAGAUACCAUAGCAUAGGAACCUCGAAAAUACGUAUUAUAGGUUGGUUGUAUACACACUCAUCCUUUGAGAAGAUAAGAGAGCCCCGCGGACAUUUCCUUCCUCGAAACCAGGAAACUGAUACUGCCUCGAUUCUGCUUCCGUCUAUCAUGUCCAAUCUUACUUUCGUGCCGAUGAAGGGCAGUCCGGAAGGUGGAGUUAGCACCGGGCCUAUUCUUAGAAGCUGAAGUAGGAGUAGGAGCACUCUUCUUCCUCAAGCGUAGCCGUAUUAGUUGGAUUCAGCAUCCUUUUCGACUGGAGAUACCCUCGCAUUACCGGCUUCCCGACAUACUGGCAAGUUUACUUGACUCACCCAUUCUUAAGACUGGCCUGGCCACUACUUUGUUUGAUUUCCUUGUCACUGUAGUAAGCAAGCGGCACCUAUUGAUCUACUUCCCUCUAGCAUCACUCAUCCUUACGGCACUAGUCCAUCCAUCCCUCGACCGAAGAGAGUCUUCCUCCUCACGGAACUAGGGUUUGAUUUCAUAGACAAGACUUUCGAGCGCGACGUUGCGCACAUCCUAUUGCUUGGUAUCUUUUCUAGUGUGCAUCACAUUCAUUUUCCUUUCCAUGAAUUUUCCUUUCAUGUAGAUAUGAUAAUCUUCGUGGCAUCAACCUCAUAUAGGAGCUGCCAGUAGUACUUUCGCGGGAUUUGAAAGCAGGCAAACCUAUGAUGCGAGUCUAGUUAGAAUAGAACCAGUGCACUCUGAAAUCCGAACCAACCAAUACGGUUCGCUUUCCUCUGCUCGUAUAGACUCCGUUCGUGUUAGGACAUCCAUAGCCAAUAGUAAUAGUAGCUAGUAGCUUCGCCCCCCUUGCCCCGGAAAGGUUCUCAUUCCUCACUGGAUCUAGUUGACUUGCUGCUACAGCAAUCAAUCUAUCUAUAUGUUCCUGACGGAAGAGAGAGUUUCCUACAUUCCCAUUCCCAUGAACUGAACAUCGGGUACCAACGAUCUGAAAUCCCGUGCUGAAACCUACAGAUAUGCACCUGUGCGGACCAACCUAGCAAUCCUCCUGUCUAUUCUUUCUAUCUGGACUAGCGCUUCCCACUGGAGCUUACUACUUGACUAGAGCACUUGAACUUGUUAGUUUCAUUAGUCAGUUUCCUAGCAUAGCAAAGUGAGUUUCCCAUCAACGGAUUAUCAUCCUCUUGUUUCC